AGUCGAACGGUAACAGGAAUUAGCUUGCUAAUUUGCUGACGAGCGGCGGACGGGUGAGUAACGCGUAGGAAUCUGCCUGGUAGUGGGGGACAACAUGUGGAAACGCAUGCUAAUACCGCAUACGCCCUACGGGGGAAAGGAGGGGAUCUUCGGACCUUUCGCUAUCAGAUGAGCCUGCGUGAGAUUAGCUAGUUGGUGGGGUAAAGGCUCACCAAGGCGACGAUCUCUAGCUGGUCUGAGAGGAUGAUCAGCCACACUGGGACUGAGACACGGCCCAGACUCCUACGGGAGGCAGCAGUGGGGAAUAUUGGACAAUGGGCGCAAGCCUGAUCCAGCCAUGCCGCGUGUGUGAAGAAGGCCUUCGGGUUGUAAAGCACUUUCAGAGGUGAGGAAGGGUGUGCCGUUAAUACCGGUAUGCUUUGACGUUAGCCUCAGAAGAAGCACCGGCUAACUCUGUGCCAGCAGCCGCGGUAAUACAGAGGGUGCGAGCGUUAAUCGGAAUUACUGGGCGUAAAGCGCGCGUAGGUGGUUUGUUAAGUCGGAUGUGAAAGCCCAGGGCUCAACCUUGGAAUUGCACCCGAUACUGGCAGGCUAGAGUACGGUAGAGGGGUGUGGAAUUUCCUGUGUAGCGGUGAAAUGCGUAGAUAUAGGAAGGAACAUCAGUGGCG
RNAcentral lists this ribosomal RNA (668 nucleotides) under uncultured Marinomonas sp. RNAcentral describes it as "bacterial SSU rRNA". It matches the Rfam family "Bacterial small subunit ribosomal RNA", at positions 60 to 717 of the family's 1533-position model. Lineage: Bacteria; Pseudomonadati; Pseudomonadota; Gammaproteobacteria; Oceanospirillales; Oceanospirillaceae. The record is from RNAcentral.